ACGGAAGGCAGCAGUGGGGAAUAUUGGGCAAUGGGCGAAAGCCUGACCCAGCAACGCCGCGUGAAGGAAGAAGGUUUUCGGAUUGUAAACUUCUUUUAUCAGGGACGAAGAAAGUGACGGUACCUGAUGAAUAAGCCACGGCUAACUACGUGCCAGCAGCCGCGGUAAUACGUAGGUGGCAAGCGUUAUCCGGAUUUACUGGGUGUAAAGGGCGCGUAGGCGGGGAUGCAAGUCAGGUGUGAAAUCUAUGGGCUUAACCCAUAAACUGCAUUUGAAACUGCAUCUCUUGAGUAUCGGAGAGGUAGACGGAAUUCCUAGUGUAGCGGUGAAAUGCGUAGAUAUUAGGAGGAAUACCAGUGGCGAAGGCGGUCUACUGGACGAUAACUGACGCUGAGGCGCGAAAGCGUGGAGAGCAAACAGGAUUAGAUACCCUGGUA
RNAcentral lists this ribosomal RNA (437 nucleotides) under uncultured Oscillospiraceae bacterium. Its description in RNAcentral is "bacterial SSU rRNA". It matches the Rfam family "Bacterial small subunit ribosomal RNA", at positions 341 to 792 of the family's 1533-position model. Lineage: Bacteria; Bacillati; Bacillota; Clostridia; Eubacteriales; Oscillospiraceae. The record is from RNAcentral.